Dendrobium catenatum is the source of this 4043-nucleotide RNA transcript. It is a transcript of the gene named pentatricopeptide repeat-containing protein At5g56310, with no coding region annotated. The record is from RefSeq and is a predicted model, not a curated record. Lineage: Eukaryota; Viridiplantae; Streptophyta; Magnoliopsida; Asparagales; Orchidaceae. The transcript is spliced from 4 exons.
UAUUAGAAUUAGCGGUUUCCUGAACUUUGUAUACGCUAUUAAACUAUUAAGUUCAAAUCAUAUUGCAAUCACCAUGUUUCAACGAAGCAGCUUGAGACGACUUUUCUCUUGUCUAACCUCUCCUACUUCUUCUCAAACCAGAAAAAGAACUAAUCACAUUACUCCUCUUUAUUUCCUCACCAUUUUACUGAAUCAAUGUUCCACCUUCAACCACAUAAGCCAAGUUCAUACCUUUAUGCUCUCCCGAGGCCUCGAUCAAGACAAACUCCUCCUCAGCAAGUUCAUCCAUGUUUGUUCUUCGUUAGGCUUCAAAGACUACGCCUUUACGCUUUUUAAACUCGAACAAAGUCCUGAUCUUCACCUCUAUAACACCAUGAUCAGAAGUCUCUCUCAAUCGGAUUCAGCUGGAGAGGCUAUUAAUUUGUUUAACAAUAUUCAAUUUGCUGGCUUUCGACCAAACACUUAUUCAUUUCCUUUUGUGCUGAAAGCUGCCGCACAUUUAUCCAACGUUGAAGUUGGCAGAGAGGUUCAUGGACAGGUUUUUCGACUUGGUUUUGAAUACGACAUUCAUGUCUCAACAGGUCUAGUUCAUAUGUACUCUGCUUGCAGGUGUGUAAUUGACGCCCGCCUACUGUUUGAUGAAAUUCCUCAGAGGGAUGUGGUUCUUUGGAAUGCGAUGGUUGCAGGCUAUGCAAAGGUUGGUGAUGCCAACAGUGCACAUGAGCUGUUUGAGAAAAUGCCUGAAAGGAAUCUAAUAUCGUGGACGUCGGUGAUUGCAGGGUAUGCUCAGAUGAAUCGUGCAGAUGAGGCGAUCGUCUUGUUUCGUAGGAUGCAGGUCGAGGAUGGUAUUGAGCCAGAUGAAGUAGCAUUGCUGUCAACACUUUCAGCUUGUGCACAGUUAGGUGCUCUGGAUUUGGGGGAAUGGAUUCACAGUUUCAUUGAUAAGCAUGGCUUGCAUAAGACUAUCCCACUGAAGAAUGCACUCAUAGACAUGUAUGCCAAAGCAGGCAACAUAUGGAAGGCAUUUGAAGUCUUCAAAAACAUGAAGAGUAAAAAUGUUGUUAGUUGGACUACAAUGAUAGCAGGGUUUGCUUUGCAUGGGCUUCGAAGAGAAGCUCUGCAACUUUUCAAUCAAAUGGAAAAUGAGGAAAUGAAACCAAAUGGCAUUACUUUUAUAGCCAUUCUAUCAGCUUGUAGCCAUGUAGGAGAUGUUGAUUUGGGUAAAAUGUACUUCAACUGCAUGAAAUCGUGUUACAAUAUUGAGCCUCAAAUAGAGCACUAUGGUUGUAUGAUCGAUAUUCUUGGUCGUGCUGGUUGCUUAAGGGAGGCAAGGGAUGAAGUUAGAGAAAUGCCUUUUAAGCCUAAUGCAGCUAUAUGGGGAUCUUUACUGUCUGCUUCUAGAAUAUCUGGUGAUGUUGAGAUUGGUGAGGAGGCAUUGAGGCAUCUCAUUGAGGUUGAGCCUGAAAAUAGUGGGAAUUAUUCUAUACUGUCGAAUAUCUAUGCUGCACAUGGAAAAUGGCAUGAAGUUGGGAAGUUGAGGAAGGUUAUGAAAGAUUGGGGAGUCUCUAAAGUUCCUGGAGGGAGUUCUAUAGAAUUGGAUGGCAAGGUUCAUGAUUUUACAUCCAGAGAUGGACUCCAUCCUUCUUUUCAGAAGAUAUAUGAGGUUCUUAAUGAGAUAAAUGAGCAACUAAAGAUCAAUGGCUAUGUGCCAAAGUUUUUUGGAGGCAUAUUAGAGGAUGAAGGUUUCAUUUGGUAAUGUUGUGCUGUGCAAGAUGGAAGAAUUAAAUUUUCAUCUCAGAAGUAUGAAGUGGACUGGCUGAAGGGAGUACUUACUAACAAAAAAUGGAUGCUUUGCGCAAGAAGUGGAUGAAAAAAUUAAGAAAAGCUUGAAAAGAAGAAGAGAAAGGAAGGAUAAAAGGGAGGCAGUGAGUAGCAAAGAGAAGGUGCGGCUGAUCCUUAUAUAGAGUUGGAGGAAAAAAAAACACAGCACUGGACAACCCCCAAAGUAUCUUACUUUGGCCCCAUGGAAUAAAGAGUCAGUGAUAACUGAUAAGGUUCCCAUCAUCUCUUUACCUCCCUUCCUCUCUCUCUCUCUCUCUCUCUCUCUCUCUCUCUCUAUUUCACACAUGAAUAUGAAGGAAAAUACGCAGCUAUAUAAUCUGGAAAGAUUAGGACUUCAGAGAAUACAGCAACUUGCAUAAAACAAGAAACUUUUUUCCCUUUGCCUUUCAUAACAAAGAAAAUAAAUUAGAAUAAGAAGCUAAGGAUUUAUAUAAGAAAACAUAUAGAAGAAAUAUAUAGAUUUGAGAAAAAAUACACAGAUAUUGCAACUAUAACGCAGCAGUAAGAACUCGCUUUCAACAAUCAUUAAUUAUAAACAAUCUCAACUACAUGCAAGAUAAUUACCGGAUAAGAGAGAAUUACGAGGAAAUUAAUUGUUUAUGAAAAUUAGUUCUUUUCAGUAUGAAAUCUUCAUCAAAUAAAAUAAGAAAAAAAACUUGCCCUCAUGCUAAUUGUACAAAGAGACAAUAUCGAAAUAAAGAUUACAGGGCCCACACUGUAUAAUCACCAAGGGUUACUGCAACACAAAGGAAAAAGAAAAUGCAGCUCAUCUUGAUUUGUUAGUUGGGAGCUUUAGCUACCAACUAAUAAAUCUUAGUUUCGAAGCUUACGAAUAUGAUGUGUCUAUGAAUUUGUCUUAAUUGACUCAAAAGACAUAAAAAAAUACAAAGGAAAAACCUAAGUUAAAAAAUAAGACAAAGAGGCCGAGAGUGCUAUACAACUAUGUAGAUUCUCCCGCAAGUAGAAACUUGUUUUGGUUUUAACUAUACCCAAAUAGGAAUUACCUGGUUAAAAAAGGAAGCACCGCUAAUAUAUCACGCGAAUAAAAAAAUGAUUGUGGAUAACAUAAAUUAAUGUAGAGACUAGAGAGCAUACCCUGCAAUUCUGCACGAUAUUAAAUUUAUGAGAAGAAUCAACAGUAAAUUAAGCACUUCUGUUACACUGAACUUCGCUUCACCAAUUGAAAAAUUACUAAUUUACUCAUAACUCCUAUCCCUUGAUCUGCAAAAUAACUAUAAAAGAUGGCAACCCUUUUGAUCUCAAAACGGUCUUUUUCUUUGCAUUAUCAUAGCAUUGGAGGCAUGAAAGCAAUGGUUGGAAAGUUAUAGCUUCUCUACAGAGCCACCUUUUAACUCACAUUUCUUUCACCAUUUAAGUUGAGGUAAGGCAUGAUCUGCACCUUAUCUUCAAGUGGGGUCUUCUGAUAGUGAUGGGCUCAUGCAGGCGACCAAAGCAGUAGAUGCUCCUACAGACAAGCUUUCUAUAAUAGAUUUGGCAUGGAUGGGAAAAAUGGAAAGAUAGACCAGUAAGGAGAGCUAAUGAAUGGAAGGAACAUGAACGAGAAGUUGGAGAUGAUAGUAGGCUUAUAAAGUUGCAUGAGAGAGAGAAGGUGUGGGGCCUUACGUUCAGUGAGGUCCCCCUCACUUUUCUCAUGGGUAGCAUAAAAAUUCAGAAGCAGCAAUAACAGCUCAUAGAGUCGAUCUUUCUUUUGUGGAUUUGAUUUUGGAAAGGAAAGCAGAUAAGCAGACCAAUAUAAAGAAGAAGAAAUGACACUGCAAGUAGUGUAAAUGAGAUAAUGUUCUUGAAGUUCAGUAAAGAAAGCAAAGUAUGUUAGGUCCUAAAUCAAGCUUCAAGCUACAAAUACUUAAAUGUUGUUGGCAAGUGAAGGAAAUCUGAAAGUGUGUACUCGUAAAAAGAACUCUAUCAAUCAUUUUCAUAAAAUAUAAUAGGUAAUGUAGUUAGAAAAAUGACUUGAUAAUUUGAAGGCCUUCAACUUUGGUUUUUUUUUUUUUUUUUUUUUUGGCGAUGUUCAACCAAUUCGACGUUAGAUGUCCGAUGCAUUCGAUGUUACUUUGACGAUGUUCGGCGAUUUGUACAAUUUCAACGCAUUGAGGAAAAAGGAAGUUAGAGUUAAGCAAUAUAAGCUAUGUAAACAUCAUUUAGAUUAUUUUAUAAAAUAUAAUAGGUAAUGUAAUUAGAAA